Molecule: ribosomal RNA, 486 nt
Filed under: uncultured bacterium
Lineage: Bacteria
Description: partial 16S ribosomal RNA
Rfam family: Bacterial small subunit ribosomal RNA
Source: RNAcentral
AUUGAACGCUGGCGGCAUGCCUUACACAUGCAAGUCGAACGGCAGCACGGGUGCUUGCACCUGGUGGCGAGUGGCGAACGGGUGAGUAAUACAUCGGAACAUGUCCUGUAGUGGGGGAUAGCCCGGCGAAAGCCGGAUUAAUACCGCAUACGAUCUACGGAUGAAAGCGGGGGACCUUCGGGCCUCGCGCUAUAGGGUUGGCCGAUGGCUGAUUAGCUAGUUGGUGGGGUAAAGGCCUACCAAGGCGACGAUCAGUAGAUGGUCUGAGAGGACGACCAGCCACACUGGGACUGAGACACGGCCCAGACUCCUACGGGAGGCAGCAGUGGGGAAUUUUGGACAAUGGGCGAAAGCCUGAUCCAGCAAUGCCGCGUGUGUGAAGAAGGCCUUCGGGUUGUAAAACACUUUUGUCCGGAAAGAAAUCCUUGGCUCUAAUACAGUCGGGGGAUGACGGUACCGGAAGAAUAAGCACCGGCUAACUACGUG